UCCUGCAAUAAAAUGGAGCCAUCAGAAAUAAUUCUCAACCCAGCGCACACUUCAUGUUAACCAUACCUGCAGAGAAAUCAGCCUGGACUCUCACCCUCUCAGCGAUCUACCCGCUUUUAAAUGUAAAUACCGAUUGCUUGCCUCCGUAAUGAAUCAGCUGCGCUAAAACAGCGUCUUCCUUAUAUGGGCAACCGGAAGAGUGCAUAAUGGACAUAAUGCCCCGGCUACAUUUAAAUCCAACUUAUAAGUUAGAAAGAGUGGUAAGUUUCAGAAAACUGAACUUCAGUUUUUCUGCUGUUAGAACCACUAAGAUCAGUUGGAACUGUUGCACUUUCUGGCAGUUGAUUGGCAGUUGUUUUCAGUUCAACUGAAGUGCCCUCCGUGUCUGGAAUGAGAGUCCCUGUCUAGUUGUUUUGAACGUGCUGCACUGAGAUCGAUCAGGUUUUUUUUUGUUGUGUUGUUUUUGUUUUUUUGCUUUUUCUUCUCUUCUCCUGGAUUGUUCCUGGAGUGGAUUCCUCUACUGACUUUGAUGGCGAGCCUUCCCACCUGGACUUAGAAAGAUCUGGAUUUCCUCCCAUGUUGAGUGAGACCAGAACCAGGAUUUAAUUUGAUUCAUUUGUCAUCUAAAAGAGAUUAGAGUGCAAACUACCAGGGUGCACCCAAUAGAUUUAAAUUUGAUAUUUAGCACUUGGCCAAGUAUUGUUGUUUUUCUUUUAUGUAUUUAUUGUGUGUAGUUUUAUUUUCUUAAUUGUAUGUCUUGUCAACUUGUGAGUUUAUG
Long non-coding RNA from Poeciliopsis prolifica (blackstripe livebearer), 778 nucleotides. RefSeq lists it as uncharacterized. The transcript is spliced from 3 exons. The record is from RefSeq and is a predicted model, not a curated record. NCBI's taxonomy places the organism in Eukaryota, Metazoa, Chordata, Actinopteri, Cyprinodontiformes, Poeciliidae.